Molecule: ribosomal RNA, 497 nt
Filed under: uncultured bacterium
Lineage: Bacteria
Description: partial 16S ribosomal RNA
Rfam family: Bacterial small subunit ribosomal RNA
Source: RNAcentral
GAUGAACGCUGGCGGCGUGCCUAAUACAUGCAAGUCGAGCGAACGGACGAGAAUCUUGCUUCUCUGAUGUUAGCGGCGGACGUGUGAGUAACACGUGUAUAACCUACCUAUAUGACUGGGAUAACUUCGAGAAACCGGAGCUAAUACCGGAUGAUAUUUUGAACCGCAUGGUUCAAAAGUGAAAUACGGUCUUGCUGUCACUUAUAGAGGGAUCCGCGCUGCAUUAGCUAGUUGUUAAGGUAACGGCUUAUUAAGGCAACGAUGCAUAGCCGACCUGAGAGGGUGAUCGGCCACACUGGAACUGAGACAGGGUCCAGACGACUACGGGAGGCAGCAGUAGGGAAUCUUCCGCAAUGGGCGAAAGCAUGACGGAGCAACGCCGCGUGAGUGAUGAAGGUCUUCGGAUCGUAAAACUCUGUUAUUAGGGAAGAACAUCUGUGUAAGUAACUGUGCACAUCUUGACGGUACCUAAUCAGAAAGCAACGGCUAACUACGUG